CUUUUUUGACCAACAGAUAGGUGAGGAGGAGAAAGGAGCUUAUCCUCCCAGCCCCUGCUUCAUACCAUUCACAUCCCAGAGCCAUGCCCAGACCAGGCCUGCUGGGCAGCACAAAGGAGCAAGGAGAGCCCGGCAUCACUUACGGAAUCUUUCCAAGCUCCCUGACCUUUGGAGAUUUUCAUCCACCCAUUCCAACUCUCUUGAUCCCUUCUCAUACUUGCUUGGCUUAUCUGCAUGUGGUCACCUGCUGUGGCCUGGUGUGUAAUGGGUUAAAAGCCACUGCCUGACAUCCCAACACUUGACACCCCAGCAAUGUGUGACUCCCCCAACAUUCCAUUCUGCCAUCCUGCAGCUGAAAUGGGGACGCUGGCUGCCUUUCCAGCUCCACACCCUGGGACAGAGGAUCUGGGAGGCGAGGCCAUGCCAGAGGACUUGGGGAUAAGGUGAGGGAGGAAGGCAAGAGGGAGAGGAAGCUGAGCUAAGGCUGAACUCUGACUGAGGGAGAUGAAAACAGGCUGAAAAUACCACCCCGGGAGAGGACCUCACCCCAAGCAAGCCAAUAAGAGC
RNAcentral lists this long non-coding RNA (567 nucleotides) under Androctonus crassicauda. The record is from RNAcentral. Lineage: Eukaryota; Metazoa; Arthropoda; Arachnida; Scorpiones; Buthidae.